UGUUAAGCGGGCUGUGUGCCCAAGGACUGUGGGGCACAUGGCUCACCCGGAGCUGCCGAGGGCCGUUAUCGCGAUGGCUCUGUUGGCGACGUGCGGAGCAGAUGUUUGCACAGGUCAUGCGAGGAGCGGCGUAGUCGUGGCGUCCGAGGGAGACAAGGUCGUCUUGAACUGCGCUCUGCCACGGAAUGUGACAACCCGCAGUUUGGAGAGUAUACAAUGGCGAAAACACGACGUGAAUAUCAUUUACCACUCGAAGAAACUUGAAAAACCAUCUGUUUUUCAUGGACUCGCCUUUACGGGGAACAUAUCAGAUGGGAACGCUUCGAUGGCUUUCCUCAACAGUUCAAGUCAAUGAUUCUGGGCAUUACACUUGUACCCUGGAAGGGAAAAGCACUUCAAUCGUCAACAACUUCUGUCUGGAUGUCAAAAGAACAUACAUCACCACCACCACAGCAACAGAAUCUACAGCCACACAAGCCCUGCACGUUGAGAACUACUGGAGUACGACGAUGACAGUGAUCGUGGGAAUCCCUGUGUUCGCCAUCAUCCUCAUCGUCCUUCUCACAUGGGGAUACCACAAACAUCAUAAGACCGUUAGAGCUACAACGCAAAGAAAAAUGCAAGAGCGGCCAUCACACAUGCAGGAAUAUGCUAACAUUGACAAGUCUGAUAAUCUGCAAGAUGAAACGUACGAGAAUUUAUAUUAGCAAAAGUGAAACGGACUGUUGGCUUAAUAAAUAUACUAAUCAUGGAGUCGUCAUUUUCAUGCUCAUCUUCUUUGGUUAUUUCAGUAAAGUCACGUAAUAGAAAAUAAAAUGUAAAUAAAAUGAACAAAAAAAUAAUAUAAACGCAAAAAACCCACGACGUUUCGAUCGCAACACAAGCUGUCUUCACUGAAAGAACCAAAUAAUAUAAAUUCUUGCAGUCACAAAAGUUUUAAGUCAAAAUUCAUGAUCAUCAUUACAGCAGGAACAGCAGCAGUGUUGCCCUCAAACGCCGAGGCUUCUGCCCGCUCAAUCGACCACCUUCGAUUAAUCUCGGUCAUCUUAAUCCGCCAUUGUUCCUCUCGCUUGCUUGUGUGCAUGUAUCGGGUAACAUUCGCACGACCUACCGAGCCAUGAGUGUGUCGUUUCUGAUACUUUGUGGGUCUUGAA
Lethenteron reissneri (Far Eastern brook lamprey) is the source of this 1154-nucleotide long non-coding RNA. RefSeq lists it as uncharacterized. Lineage: Eukaryota; Metazoa; Chordata; Hyperoartia; Petromyzontiformes; Petromyzontidae. The record is from RefSeq and is a predicted model, not a curated record.